GAGCGUGGUGCUGUCCCUUGCAAUUCCUCAGAGGGUAUUUAGUUAUAAUGAGAUUAUCCACGUGGAGACCUCGGGAAAGGUGGGGUGAAGGGGAGUGCAGCAAGGGUGAAAGCCCAGGAAAGAGAUUAUACAGUGAGAUGGAAAAUAGGACGGGUAGGGCUGGGCAAGCUGGUAGUCACUGGGGAUCUAAGACUAUUCAAAAUUACAGUUAGCGGCUUCAGAGGCAGUAAGAGUCUGUGAGAAUAUUAAUUUCUCCCUGGUUUCUGAUUGUUAUUCCCUAAUUAAUGUGUUUGGAAAGUGUUGGCAGUCACUUAUUAAGGAAGAAAAUAAGAGAGAACUUCCUUACCUUAACCAGUUAUUAGCUACUAGCAAAUGCCUGGCUACAGAUCAUAAUUGCUACUUAAAGGAUGUGAAAUUUAUAUAUGUAUACACAUAAUCAAUAUAUAAAUGUAGAAUUCCAUGUUUAAAAAGGUCUAGAGCUUCUGUCAAGGGUAUUGAGGCACUUAUCCUACACAAAGAAAUGCUAAGUGAGGGACAGAUCUAGAUACCACUGAGCUUUUUUUCAUUAACUUCCUUCUAAAUUUUAUGCAAAAAAUGUCAAAAUACAUGUAUACCACAGCUAUUUUGCUUCAUUUCGGUGAAAAAUAUCACAAUAUUAGUAACACUAAAAGCAGAUAGAAAAUAUUCACCUUGAAGGAAUGUUUAUGUUAAACAGUACUGGAGACAAGAGACUGUAAGGGAAUGAAGGGCUUAACCCCAGCCUGCACUGUACAAGCGAGAGAACAUCAUACAAAGUCACUGCAACAAAGAGGGGGGAGAAAACCCCAAACCAACAAAAAAAACUUACCACAUAUCCCCAUACUGCCACACAGGCUUACCUAAGAGGACUAAUUUAAAGACAACAGAGAAGAAAAUUACCAUGCAGUCUUUUAAUAGAGGGAAUUAUUGCUCCAUGUAGAAAUAUGUUCAAGAUCUUUCUUGUAUUUUGUGAAAUCAUAAGAAAUUUAAUCAUUGGUUUAAUUACUUGGGAACAACACAGUGCUGUCAUAGCUGAAGUCUAUAUCUGCCAGAAACUCUGCAGCAUGUUGCAAAGACAGAUGCGUAUAACAUAUUUAAGAACUUUAUCCUUUCUAGGAUAUGUUUUGCACAUUUAAUAUUAGAGAGAGAUUUAUUGUUAAAUGAAUCAUCUUCUGACAUCAAAGGUUUCAAACUUUUUAAUUCUGUCCUUAUGUUACAACCUUUGACACCUGAAGUCUUUAAUUGCAAAAGGUCUAUAGGGAAUCUAUAAAUUUUAAGUUUCAUAAACAUCAAACCUACAGGGAACACUGAACAAAUUGUAUUUUUGGUCUGUUUGUCCAGAAGAUGCAGAGGUUUUAGAAUUAUGUAUGGUACAGCUAAGUGAGGGUUUAGUUAAGUUCUUCUCUAGAAGAGAAUAAAAGGUUGUCUUUCUGACUGUGCAUCUCUAGAUGCUUCUGAGGCACCUAUAUGCUUUUCUUUGUGGAGAGGGAAAAGAUCAAUUUGUUUUCAUACUUCCUAAUGUCUAACAAAAAAGAGUUCACAAAAGGAAGCUUUACAGUAAAAGUGCUUGCCUAGAAAGUUUUUUAAAAAGCAAGAUUGGUUGUGAUAAGUGCAUAUAACAGGUUCUGUGUUCAGUUUCAAGAAGGUCUGAUGCAAUCCCCUGUGGAAAGACACUGCUGUGUUGUCUACACCUGCUUCAGAUAGGAACAUAUUUUUGAGAAGUUGAGGAGUUCACUCAAACUAAGAAAGGUAGACGUUUUCCAAGAAUUCCACUUACAAGGAGAUUCACAUCUUGUGUGUGCAACAGAGACAGAAGCCAAUCUUCUAGUAACAUCCUAAGAGACAUUUUUAUGAACUUCAGAGCAGGAAGUAAUCUUUCAUCAGGUACACUUUCUGACAAGGACAUAUCAAUGCAUAUAUUUCCAUGAAAGGAUAUUAACAGGCUGGUGGGAAAACUAGCAUUGUUUUCCACAGAUAAAAAUAAUAGAAGAAAAAAAGGUAGCAUGUCUUUUCAAGGUCAGUGAAUCAGUGAAAUAGCAAUUUGUUUUAAGGCCCAUGUAUUACUCAUAAAAUCAUACUUGUCUUUUUCUGCCUGGAGAAUUCUUUUCCUACUCCCAAUUCAUUUUUUCUCCCUAUUUUUCUCUUUUGAUUUUUCUUCAGUUUAUUUUUCCUCACUUAACCUCUGACUUUAUCUGAUGCUAAAAAAAGGACAAAAGGCAAAAGCCUACAGGAACCAGCAUAGUCAGAAUCUUGUCUUUUACUGACAUUUUACUGUCCAGCACUGCCUUUUAAUUCGUGGGAGAGAGCAGCAUUUCAUGCUGUAUAUAUUGCUGACAUGUGGAAUCAGGAAAAACAGUCACACUCCUGACUUCCUUUGAGAGUGGCUCCCUCAGCCAGGAAACAAUUCCCUUAAUGAAGCAGACAUGUAAUACCAGGGCAGCCCAGCAGCCUUUGUUGUAUUCAAAUCUUGUAUGCAUGGCAGUAUUUUUUACCUCUACUCAUAACCUUGGUACAUUUAUAGGUGUGUUGAAUUUUCAGGUUUUAAAUCAUCACAGUAAAAAAUAGCUCAAUCAUUCUUAUUUAUUGGAAAAGUCCCAUUUUUGUCACAGCAAUCUUAUUUUAAAUGUAAAUGUCCCAGAUUCAGAUUUCAUAGGAAGGAGGAGGUAUAAUGUAGAAGGUACAACAAUUAAAACUAUAUAAAACAGACUUUCAUGUCUCUGAGAGUUUGUUUACUCUUUCAGCUGUUCUCACUUUAAAUUCACCAAAUCAAGAUAUGAAGCACAUGAAAGGCUUGGGCUAUUCUGCCUUUCACAUCAUUAAAAUGUAGUGCUGUUCUCAGGAUAAGCUUUGUUGCUGUCUGAUAAAUAUUCAUAAAAGUCUUGAAUGCAAUUCAGCAGAGUUCUGUAAUCUCACAAAAUAAGUACUUCGAAAAAAUCCUAUCAGCUCUGCUAAAAUUGCCUGUACUUUUAUACAGUUUCCUCAGGUAAAAAAAACCCAAAAACCAAUAGUAAGAGUUAAGCAUUAUAUUGUCACAUAUUACAGGCACAGAAUUACUAGAGACUUUUCUAGGAUUUGGUUUUUUAUUCUCUGUGAUAAGAGUAAUGUUGCAGAAGCUGAUAGGUGUUGAAGCAACAGCAAAAAAUUAAGGAGCAGUCUAGGGUCCCACAAGGACUGCAGCUCUGUGCUGUGCCUCAAGGGAAAGUUAGAUGAGGUGAAGGGCUGUUUGGUUAGGUGGGA
Long non-coding RNA from Parus major (Great Tit), 3255 nucleotides. RefSeq lists it as uncharacterized. The record is from RefSeq and is a predicted model, not a curated record. NCBI's taxonomy places the organism in Eukaryota, Metazoa, Chordata, Aves, Passeriformes, Paridae. The transcript is spliced from 3 exons.